GUAACACGUGGGUAAUCAACCCCGACACUGGGAUAUUCCGGGGAAACCCGGAUUAAUACCGGAUGCUCCGUCUGGCUUGCGGGCCGGCCGGAAAAGGGUAGCUUCGGCCUCCGGUCGGGGACGAGCCCGCGGCGGAUUAGCUUGUUGGUGGGGUAAAGGCCCACCAAGGCGACGAUCCGUAGCUGGUCUGAGAGGACGAGCAGCCACACUGGGACUGAGACACGGCCCAGACUCCUACGGGAGGCAGCAGUAGGGAAUCUUGCGCAAUGGGCGAAAGCCUGACGCAGCGACGCCGCGUGAGGGAAGAAGGCCUUCGGGUUGUAAAACUCUUACAGGAGGGACGAAGCCACUCAGGUUAAUAGCCGACAGGGUGACGGUAACUCCAGAAGAAGACCCGGCUAACUACGUGCCAGCAGCCGCGGUAAUACGUAGGGGGCAAGCGUUGUCCG
RNAcentral lists this ribosomal RNA (449 nucleotides) under uncultured Actinomycetales bacterium. Its description in RNAcentral is "bacterial SSU rRNA". It matches the Rfam family "Bacterial small subunit ribosomal RNA", at positions 110 to 547 of the family's 1533-position model. The record is from RNAcentral. Lineage: Bacteria; Bacillati; Actinomycetota; Actinomycetes; Actinomycetales.